This is a long non-coding RNA of Esox lucius (northern pike), 1054 nucleotides long. RefSeq lists it as uncharacterized. The transcript is spliced from 2 exons. NCBI's taxonomy places the organism in Eukaryota, Metazoa, Chordata, Actinopteri, Esociformes, Esocidae. The record is from RefSeq and is a predicted model, not a curated record.
UCGACACCAUUUCUGAAAGCUGUCACUGUCACACACCUGUGUCUCUCCAAGGAACACACCUGCAUCAAGCCACCAUGGAUUGAUGCAAUCCGGACUGGACCUGUAGGGCUUCUUGGUCUUUGCUGGAGAGGGCGGAUCGCUCAGAUGGGAUAGUGGAGGAAGAGACCGAGCCUGUCUGAAAUGUCACCCUAUAUACCUACACCAGACUUGAGAUGAACAGAUUUAACAUGGACUUAACAAAAAUGGAUUUAACUCACAUUUAUGGUCUUAGUUCCAUGUCAGGUUGACUUAUCUCAAGUCUGAAUAGGUCCAAUGUAAUGGAAUAGGGUGCCAUUUUGGACGCAUCAAUCCUGCCCAGGAGGCUACAAAGUGGAAUGAGAAGAGAGAACCCAAGAUGGUCCCCCAACAUAUAGUCUUAUGGUAUUCACUGAUACCUUCCAUCAUCUUUAUCCUCUGAAGCUGUGGAGUGUGACAAUGGUGUUUGUGUUAUCUGUUAUCAAACGCCAUUAUCACACUAAAUAGCUACGGUUAGAAGAGAACAGCAUCAUACUAUCCAAUGCCCUGAGGUCAAACAGAGUUACGGAAGGUUAUGUGCAGUUCCAGUCGGCCAAAUUAACUCACUGUGAUUUGGAUUUAUUCAUGUAUCUCUAUAAGCAUUGAUAGUCCAAUAUGGGAUUUAAGUGAUUGUUGCAUUUCUUUUUUAUAUCCGCUGUGGAAAAUGUUGACUACAGAAAGUCUUUAAUGUUUGCAGUUUGAGUGAAGUUUGUACCGUCAUUUAAUAAAACAUGACAAUUUGUUUCAAGGAUAUUUCUUAUCUGUUUAGAUUUGGUCAUAUGAUAAAUGCAGUAAUAAUGUAAGGGUAAAAUAACAUGACAAAACAUAAGCCUAAGGUUUGCUGACCAAUGUGAACUCUGUUCAGAUGCAAGGUUUUGUGUUACUAAUAUGAAGACAUUGUGAUCUUUUAGUCAGAACAUUUAGUUUCAUGUGACGCUAAAGGAAAGCUGUAUAAUGUGCUAAGGGUCUAUGUUGUUGUCAGUAAAUUCAAGUGAAAACA